ACCUUUUUGUAGUUCCUAAGCAUGGCGAUUGGCUGCUCACCGCGUGUGUUGACGUGCGCCUCCCUCAGACCUUGCUACUGCCUCGGCACAUUACCCACGUGAGG
Small nucleolar RNA from Leptonychotes weddellii (Weddell seal), 104 nucleotides. RefSeq annotates it as small nucleolar RNA U13. NCBI's taxonomy places the organism in Eukaryota, Metazoa, Chordata, Mammalia, Carnivora, Phocidae. The record is from RefSeq and is a predicted model, not a curated record.